RNAcentral lists this ribosomal RNA (250 nucleotides) under uncultured bacterium. Its description in RNAcentral is "partial 16S ribosomal RNA". It matches the Rfam family "Bacterial small subunit ribosomal RNA", at positions 524 to 773 of the family's 1533-position model. The record is from RNAcentral.
UACGGAGGGUGCAAGCGUUAUCCGGAUUCACUGGGUUUAAAGGGUGCGUAGGAGGGCAGGUAAGUCAGUGGUGAAAUCUCCAAGCUUAACUUGGAAACUGCCGUUGAUACUAUCUGUCUUGAAUACCGUGGAGGUGAGCGGAAUAUGUCAUGUAGCGGUGAAAUGCUUAGAUAUGACAUAGAACACCAAUUGCGAAGGCAGCUCGCUACACGAAUAUUGACUCUGAGGCACGAAAGCGUGGGGAUCAAAC